GGAUAACUCCGGGAAACCGGAGCUAAUACCGGAUAGUUCCUUGAACCGCAUGGUUCAAGGAUGAAAGACGGUUUCGGCUGUCACUUACAGAUGGACCCGCGGCGCAUUAGCUAGUUGGUGAGGUAACGGCUCACCAAGGCGACGAUGCGUAGCCGACCUGAGAGGGUGAUCGGCCACACUGGGACUGAGACACGGCCCAGACUCCUACGGGAGGCAGCAGUAGGGAAUCUUCCGCAAUGGACGAAAGUCUGACGGAGCAACGCCGCGUGAGUGAUGAAGGUUUUCGGAUCGUAAAGCUCUGUUGUUAGGGAAGAACAAGUGCAAGAGUAACUGCUUGCACCUUGACGGUACCUAACCAGAAAGCCACGGCUAACUACGUGCCAGCAGCCGCGGUAAUACGUAGGUGGCAAGCGUUGUCCGGAAUUAUUGGGCGUAAAGGGCUCGCAGGCGGUUUCUUAAGUCUGAUGUGAAAGCCCCCGGCUCAACCGGGGAGGGUCAUUGGAAACUGGGAAACUUGAGUGCAGAAGAGGAGAGUGGAAUUCCACGUGUAGCGGUGAAAUGCGUAGAGAUGUGGAGGAACACCAGUGGCGAAGGCGACUCUCUGGUCUGUAACUGACGCUGAGGAGCGAAAGCGUGGGGAGCGAACAGGAUUAGAUACCCUGGUAGUCCACGCCGUAAACGAUGAGUGCUAAGUGUUAGGGGGUUUCCGCCCCUUAGUGCUGCAGCUAACGCAUUAAGCACUCCGCCUGGGGAGUACGGUCGCAAGACUGAAACUCAAAGGAAUUGACGGGGGCCCGCACAAGCGGUGGAGCAUGUGGUUUAAUUCGAAGCAACGCGAAGAACCUUACCAGGUCUUGACAUCCUCUGACAACCCUAGAGAUAGGGCUUUCCCUUCGGGGACAGAGUGACAGGUGGUGCAUGGUUGUCGUCAGCUCGUGUCGUGAGAUGUUGGGUUAAGUCCCGCAACGAGCGCAACCCUUGAUCUUAGUUGCCAGCAUUUAGUUGGGCACUCUAAGGUGACUGCCGGUGACAAACCGGAGGAAGGUGGGGAUGACGUCAAAUCAUCA
Molecule: ribosomal RNA, 1067 nt
Filed under: uncultured Bacillus sp.
Lineage: Bacteria; Bacillati; Bacillota; Bacilli; Caryophanales; Bacillaceae
Description: bacterial SSU rRNA
Rfam family: Bacterial small subunit ribosomal RNA
Source: RNAcentral